RNAcentral lists this ribosomal RNA (1352 nucleotides) under metagenome. RNAcentral's name for it is "bacterial LSU rRNA". It matches the Rfam family "Bacterial large subunit ribosomal RNA", at positions 1564 to 2925 of the family's 2925-position model. The record is from RNAcentral.
UGAGUCCGACUCUCUACGGAGAGGAAGUGACUGAUGUCAAGCUUCCCAGAAAAGCCCGAACCACGUUAAUUUCUAAUUACCUGUACCCGAAACCGACACAGGUAGGGAGGUAGAGAAUACUAAGGGGCGCGAGAUAACUCUCUCUAAGGAACUCGGCAAAAUUACCCCGUAACUUCGGGAGAAGGGGUGCCACCGAGAGGUGGUCGCAGUGAAUAGGCCCAGGCGACUGUUUACCAAAAACACAGGUCUCCGCCAAGUCGCAAGACGCAGUAUGGGGGCUGACGCCUGCCCAGUGCCGGAAGGUUAAGGAAGUUGGUUAGGGUAACCGAAGCUAGCGACUGAAGCCCCGGUGAACGGCGGCCGUAACUAUAACGGUCCUAAGGUAGCGAAAUUCCUUGUCGGGUAAGUUCCGACCCGCACGAAAGGCGUAACGAUCUGGGCACUGUCUCGGAGAGAGGCUCGGCGAAAUAGGAUUGUCUGUGAAGAUACGGACUACCUACACUUGGACAGAAAGACCCUAUGAAGCUUUACUGUAGCCUGGAAUUGGCUUCGGGCUUCUCUUGCGCAGGAUAGGUGGGAGGCUUUGAAAUCUGGCUUGUGGGUCAGAUGGAGCCAACGGUGAGAUACCACUCUAGAGAGGCUAGAAUUCUAACUUUAACCCGUCAACCGGGGAAAGAACAGUUUCAGGUGGGCAGUUUGACUGGGGCGGUCGCCUCCUAAAAGAUAACGGAGGCGCGCAAAGGUUCCCUCAGGCUGGUUGGAAAUCAGCCGCAGAGUGCAAAGGCAUAAGGGAGCUUGACUGUGAGACCUACAAGUCGAGCAGGGUGGAAACACGGCCUUAGUGAUCCGACGGCACCGCGUGGAAGGGCCGUCGCUCAACGGAUAAAAGUUACUCUAAGGAUAACAGGCUGAUCUCCCCCAAGAGUUCACAUCGACGGGGAGGUUUGGCACCUCGAUGUCGGCUCAUCGCAACCUGGUGCGGAAGUACGUCCCAAGGGUUGGGCUGUUCGCCCAUUAAAGCGGUACGUGAGCUGGGUUCAGAACGUCGUGAGACAGUUCGGUCCAUAUCCGGUGUAGGCGUAAGAGCAUUGAGAGGAGCCUUCCUUAGUACGAGAGGACCGGGAAGGACGCACCGCUGGUGUACCUGUUAUCGUGCCAACGGUAAACGCAGGGUAGCCAAGUGCGGAGCGGAUAACCGCUGAAAGCAUCUAAGUGGGAAGCCCACCUCAAGAUGAGUGCUCUCACAGGGUUAACCUGGUAAGGUCACGGGAAGACUACCCGUUUAUAGGUGCUAGGUGGACGUUCAGUAAUGGAUGAAGCCGAGGCAUACUAACAGACCGAGGGCUUGACCA